Molecule: long non-coding RNA, 1121 nt
Filed under: Sus scrofa (pig)
Lineage: Eukaryota; Metazoa; Chordata; Mammalia; Artiodactyla; Suidae
Description: lncRNA (ENSSSCG00055014458.1)
Source: RNAcentral
AUGUUCUCAUUCUCUCCGUGUGAGGGAAACAGGUUCACAUGGACAAGCCAAAGCUGUUGCCCUGCCAGGCAUCUUAGGGGCAGGGGCUACUGUGGCUACACUAUUACUGAUCCUUGGAAUUGGACUCUGCCUUUGGAAGAAGAAGAAGAAGAAGAAGAUGGAGACUGCAAGAGGCAGGUUGCCCUUCUCCUUUCUGGCCGAGUUUUCUCCCCUCACCCUUCCUCCUGCAUUUUGCUGCUCCAGGAAUACCUAUGUAGAGGGGAUGGUGGAUUUGGUCAUGGCCUUGGGGUUCAUAACAGUGGGAGAGGGUAUGGGUUUUCAAGGCCCGGGUUCAAGUUUCACUUUGUGUAUGACUCUGGAGCAGGAUUGCAGGAGGAGUCUAAGGACCGUGACGGUGGCAUCCAAUAUGUAGAGCUGAGCCAGCAGGAUUCUCGAGAGAGCACGGACCAGGGUGAUGGUGAACGACGUCUAAAUGAAAAGGAGUCUCUUAAUACUGUCUACAGUGAGGUCCAUAAGCCAGCAAGUGUGCCCAUGAAGAUAAUUUAAUUGGAGGAGGCAGAAGAAUUGACACUCCUAGGACACCUCCAUUCUGAAUUUGAUCCCUGCAGAUACCUGCCCCUACGAGUGCUGGUCCAGCACCAGCUGCCUCUGGUCUGCAUUCCUCUGACCUUUGUGCCCUCAACUCCCUGGGCUCACGUGGCCCUGUCACUUCCUCUGUCAACUCUAUAUGCUGCCUUCCACUCAGGUUCCUCACUCCAGAAGGACUAGUGCUCUUUCUCCGUCAUUGACUCUGCUCCUGAUUCCUCUCCUUCUGAAGUUUCCCUAGGAGGAUCUCCCUACCUGUGCAUGUGUUCAUCCCCACAGCCUCUGCGCUGUGGCUGGUGUGUAUCUUUCUGAGAACAGGAGCCUGGGCGUGGGGACUGUGUGGAGGUUUCGACUACACCAUAGAGGGAGUUAGGAACUUGGAGCUGGGUGUUGAGCUGAGUGUCCAUGGAGGUGGCCUGGAUGGAUGGGUAGGAGCCUACAAAAGACGGGCCUGAGGCGUCCUUUGUAUGGCAAAAGGUGUUGGAGGGACUGUCUAGUAUACAUCAUACAUGGGGGCCAGAGCCCUUGAUCCUGAU